This 278-nucleotide unclassified non-coding RNA is filed under the name plant metagenome. RNAcentral's name for it is "partial contains small subunit ribosomal RNA and internal transcribed spacer 1". The stretch from base 1 to 54 matches the Rfam family "Eukaryotic small subunit ribosomal RNA", at positions 1778 to 1831 of the family's 1831-position model. The record is from RNAcentral.
GGAAGUAAAAAUCGUAACAAGGUUUCCGUAGGUGAACCUGCGGAAGGAUCAUUAUCGAAAUACUUAUUUAGCGUUCCGUGCUAUCCCAUUGUUUUAUUUACCCUGUUGCUUCCACUGGAUGAGUUUCCAUACCUUGUGUUUGAGAAACUUUGGCUUGUGUAAGAUUCAUUCACGGCCAGCCAGUGAGAAGACCAUUUACAAAACCCUGUUAAGAACCAAUUGUCUGAAUAUUUUACUCCAAUGAAAUAAAACUUUCAACAACGGAUCUCUAGGCUCUU